GAUCACCUGGCCUGAUGUCUUUUCCCUCAGAACCCUGGUAUUUGAAGCAGCCCCAUGCAUGUGUCAUCUAAAAUUGUGAAUGCAGGCAAGUUGGAGAUGUUUUGCAAAAAUCCACCGCUUAGAAGACAAACUGCAACAUCACACUAGAUAAAGGUUGAUGCUGAUCCUCCAAUUCAGGAAUAGGACAAUAAGUGCCUUGUGCUCUUUCUUUCUUGCAGCAAUAGCUUAAAACAGUUCUCUUUUUAAUGGGUUGGAAAUUAUAACAUUUAUUCAAUGUAAAACCCAAACAACAAAAAAUAACCUGCAGAACUCUUUUCUCUAGAGGUCUGAACACAUAUUUCCCAUUAUUAUUUUUUCCAUCACAAUUAAUGAAAUAAGUUACUGUACAUAUUUCACUUUGUACAUACCUCAAAGACCUUUAAUAUUUAAUAUGUUAAAAAUAAAAGUUGCACUAUUAAAAAUAAAAUUAAAUACAAUAACUGUAAUCAGUAACCAGCUUUCUAUAUGCUUCUAUGGUUGUUAUUAUUGUUCUAGCCAGACAUGUGAACUUUGUACUUAUGUAAUGAUCUCAAACGGAUACUAAAUAACUGCUCUAUAAGGAAAGAGAGGAUUGCUUAUCUUAUUUUUUUAUCAUAUUAUUUUAUUUUAAAUCAAACUGCAUAUGCAUGUAUAUGACUUGUUAAUUUUCACAGCAAAUAAAAUUACUGUUUCGUCCUUCA
This is a long non-coding RNA of Tachysurus vachellii, 719 nucleotides long. RefSeq lists it as uncharacterized. NCBI's taxonomy places the organism in Eukaryota, Metazoa, Chordata, Actinopteri, Siluriformes, Bagridae. The record is from RefSeq and is a predicted model, not a curated record. The transcript is spliced from 2 exons.